CAUGCUUUUGAUCUGAUGUGGGAGCACCUUGAAGGUCGGGUGCCCUGACACAGAAGUGCUACAGUAGAGGGUUCUGAAGAGAGGCACCCAGGGACAGGUCAUGCUGCUGGGAUAUGUGAGCUACACGAGACACGUUCUGGACGUGGAGUUCUGGUCAUGGGGUGCUGGGGCUGCUGGUGUGGGCCUUGAUUGCUGACACCCCAUACCACCUGUAUCCUGCCUACGGCUGGGUUAUGUUUGUAGCUGUCUUCCUCUGGCUGGUAACAAUUGUCUUCUUCAUCAUCUACCUGUUUCAACUGCACAUGAAGUUGUAUAUGGUGCCCUGGCCGUUGGUGUUACUGGUCUUCUUUGUUGCUGCCACCGUCCUCUAUAUCACCGCC
RNAcentral lists this long non-coding RNA (380 nucleotides) under Rattus norvegicus (Norway rat). RNAcentral describes it as "long non-coding RNA NONRATT014034". Lineage: Eukaryota; Metazoa; Chordata; Mammalia; Rodentia; Muridae. The record is from RNAcentral.